RNAcentral lists this ribosomal RNA (301 nucleotides) under uncultured bacterium. Its description in RNAcentral is "partial 16S ribosomal RNA". It matches the Rfam family "Bacterial small subunit ribosomal RNA", at positions 509 to 809 of the family's 1533-position model. The record is from RNAcentral.
CAGCAGCCGCGGGAAUACAGAGGGUGCGAGCGUUAAUCGGAUUUACUGGGCGUAAAGCGUGCGUAGGCGGCUUCUUAAGUCGGAUGUGAAAUCCCUGAGCUUAACUUAGGAAUUGCAUUCGAUACUGGGAAGCUAGAGUAUGGGAGAGGAUGGUAGAAUUCCAGGUGUAGCGGUGAAAUGCGUAGAGAUCUGGAGGAAUACCGAUGGCGAAGGCAGCCAUCUGGCCUAAUACUGACGCUGAGGUACGAAAGCAUGGGGAGCAAACAGGAUUAGAGACCCGAGUAGUCCCUGUCUCUUAUAA